RNAcentral lists this non-coding RNA (108 nucleotides) under Desulfosporosinus orientis DSM 765. RNAcentral describes it as "Glycine riboswitch aptamer". It matches the Rfam family "Glycine riboswitch aptamer". Rfam says of the family: This family represents the bacterial glycine riboswitch. Glycine riboswitches usually consist of two metabolite-binding aptamers domains with similar structures in tandem. The aptamers cooperatively bind glycine to regulate the expression of downstream genes. Lineage: Bacteria; Bacillati; Bacillota; Clostridia; Eubacteriales; Desulfitobacteriaceae. The record is from Rfam by way of RNAcentral.
AUGACACUAGCAGGAGAGAUCUGAAUUUUUCAGGCGCCGAAGGAGAAAUCUCUUGAAUUCGCUUUUUCAAGGGGGGAAGCUCUCAGGCAAAAGUACUGCUAGAUGACG